GCGGUGCCCUGGCGGCGCUGCACCCAGCAGGAUCCCCUGUUCCUUUCCCUCUCUCUCUCCCAGACCUCCUACUCGGUCUCGCUCCUCAUGCUCGUUGUUUACGCGUACGAAUCGCACCGCGCCGUCCUCGGGGGGCGAGCCCGGCCCCCGGCAGCGCUGCAGGAUCGGAGCCACUGCCUGGAGAACGCCCGGCAGGGAAUUCCCUCCGUCCUGGCCUGGUAGGAGCCCCCGCGGGAUCGGCCCGGCCGCGGUCCCAGAGCCUCCCCCGGGGGUCCCGGGACUCAAACCCCUCCCUUCCCGAGGCUGCUGCCGGCGCUGACCCUCCUGGCCCAGCUGCUCGCCCGAGGCUCCGCCGCCACCGACAUCGCGCCCGUGGUGCCCCGGCCCGGCUCCAACGCCACCUUCAGCCUUUACUGCUCCAGCUGCCUCCUCCUGAUCCACCCCAACCGAGACAUCUGCUCCCAGGUGGGCGCUGCUCUCCCUGUGGGGCCGGGGNGGUCGGGGCCAGCCGGGGUCGCUCCGGGCUCCGUCCGCCGCCCAUGGCCAGCGCACAGGAGCGGCCCCCGGCCCUCUCGGAUAUCCAGGUAAAGGCGGAGCGGGAGAGGCUCCAGCUGAGCGCUGGAUUCCAGCAAACCCUGCCCGGGGUUUGGGGCAGCGCGCUGGGACCGGCCCAGGGUGGUCACGGCCACCACAAGGGGAGGUGACAGCCGGGCAGGGAUUCCUCCGACCCCGCUGUUCCCGCUGAGUCCCGGGCCCGGGACGCGGCUUCUCGGCCCUCCCCAGCCCCGGGAAAGGUGGGAGGAGAUCCCAGCGGGAAAACCCGGGAGGAAGAGACAGGGAAAGCCCAGCAGUGCAGCCACCGCCGAGGGGCUGCUGAGGAGCCGGCCCCGGCCCCGGCCCCGCCAUUCCCCCAGAGCGACGGGAACGCCGUGGCUGCGGUUCCCGGGAGAGUCCGGCCGUGCCCGGGGCGGGCUCGGGGCGGCCCCGCUCCCUCCGUGCCUCCCGCAGGUCCUGGCGCUGACGGGUGUCACCCUCCCGGCCGCGCUGCUCAGCCUCCUGGGCAGCGGAACUGUCCUCGCGGUCACCUCCUGGCAGGGGCGCUGCUGCCACAUCCCGGUGAGUGUCACCAGCCCCUGUCACAUCCCGGUGAGUGCCACCGGCUCCUGGCAGUGUCACCGCUGCCACAUCCCGGUGAGUGUCACCUGCACCUGUCACAUCCCGGUGAGUGUCACCAGCCCCUGGCAGUGUCACCGCUGUCACAUCCCGGUGAGUGUCACCAGCCCCUGGCAGUGUCACUGCUGUCACAUCCCGGUGAGUGUCACCAGCCGCUGUCACAUCCCGGUGAGUGUCCCCAGCCCCUGGCAGUGUCACCGCUGUCACAUCCCAGUGAGUGUCACCAGCCCCUGGCACAUCCUGGUGAGUGCCAUCGGUUCCUGGCAGUGUCACCGCUGUCACAUCCCGGUGAGUGCCACCAACCCCUGGCAGUGUCACCAGCCCCUGUCACAUCCCGGUGAGUGCCACCAGCCCCUGUCACAUCCCGGUGAGUGCCACCAGCCCCUGGCAAUGUCACCGCUGUCACAUCCCGGUGAGUGCCACCAACCCCUGGCAGUGUCACCAGCCCCUGUCACAUCCCGGUGAGUGUCACCAGCCCCUGGCACAUCCUGGUGAGUGCCAUCGGUUCCUGGCAGUGUCACCGCUGUCACAUCCCGGUGAGUGCCACCAGCCCCUGGCAAUGCUGCCGUGUCCAGGUGAGUGUCCCCGGCUCCCAGGGACACAGGGCUGGGUCUGGCCCCAGCUAAGCUCGAAUCAAAGCCGGGCCAAUACCGGCUUUAAGGCCCCGGAGGGGAGCGGGAGGUUCGGGAUGCCCAGCACCGGCACCCGGCCCGGUCCCCGGGAGCCGCCGGGCCCAG
RNAcentral lists this long non-coding RNA (1910 nucleotides) under Parus major (Great Tit). Its description in RNAcentral is "lncRNA (ENSPMJG00000002861.1)". Lineage: Eukaryota; Metazoa; Chordata; Aves; Passeriformes; Paridae. The record is from RNAcentral.